AUCACUCGGCUCGUGGAUCGAUGAAGACCGCAGCUAAAUGCGCGUCACAAUGUGAACUGCAGGACACAUGAACACCGAUAAGUUGAACGCAUAUUGCGCAUCGUGCGACACAGCUCGAUGUACACAUUUUUGAGUGCCCAUAUUUGAUCAUAACCCAAGCCAAACGGCGUACCUCACCGUACGUGGAGUUGAUGAAAGGGUCUGGAUACGCCAUCCUUUCUCUUGCAUCGAAGUCGUAGCGUGUAGCAACCCCAGGUUUCAACUUGCAAAGUGGCCAUGGGGCUGACACCUCACCACCAUCAGCGUGCUGUGUAGCGUGUUCGGCCCAGUUCGGUCAUCGUGAGGCGUUACCUAACGGAGAAGCACCAGCUGCUGCGUGUAUCUCAUGGUUACCCCCAACCAUAGCAGCAGAGAUACAAGACCAGCUCCUAGCAGCGGGAGCUCAUGGGUCUCAAAUAAUGUGAGACUACCCCCUAAAUUUAAGCAU
This 487-nucleotide ribosomal RNA is filed under the name Anopheles atroparvus. The stretch from base 1 to 139 matches the Rfam family "5.8S ribosomal RNA". Lineage: Eukaryota; Metazoa; Arthropoda; Insecta; Diptera; Culicidae. The record is from RNAcentral.